RNAcentral lists this unclassified non-coding RNA (378 nucleotides) under uncultured Pseudomonadota bacterium. RNAcentral describes it as "uncultured proteobacterium contains 16S-23S intergenic spacer region". Lineage: Bacteria; Pseudomonadati; Pseudomonadota. The record is from RNAcentral.
UCCGGCUUAUCACCGGCAGUCCCACUAGAGUGCCCAACUGAAUGAUGGCAACUAAUGGCGAGGGUUGCGUUCGUUGCGGGACUUAACCCAACAUCUCACGACACGAGCUGACGAAAGCCAUGCAGCACCUGUACUAGCUCCCCGAAGGGUCCUUCAUCUUUCGAAUCCGUACCACUAGCAUGUCAAGCCUUGGUAAGGUUCUUCGCGUUGCAUCGAAUUAAACCACACGCUCCACCGCUUGUGCGGGCCCCCGUCAAUUCCUUUGAGUUUUAGUCUUGCGACCGUACUUCCCAGGCGGAGAACUUAAUGCGUUAGCUACGGCACCGCAGGGGUCAACACCCACGACACCUAGUUCUCAUCGUUUACGGCGUGGACUAC